This 584-nucleotide small RNA is filed under the name Desulfitobacterium dichloroeliminans LMG P-21439. Lineage: Bacteria; Bacillati; Bacillota; Clostridia; Eubacteriales; Desulfitobacteriaceae. The record is from RNAcentral.
UAAUUGUCUUUGAGCUAUGGUGCGCUAUUCUAGUGCGUGAAAUGGCAGUCGAAGGCGGGCCUAAUAAUCCGCUAAGGGCAUACCGAUGAAGUUCCUGGUGGUGGCUUUCGACGCCCAGUCGAGGGUUGCUGCUGGGGGUUAAGGUUGAGGGGGAUCCGCAAUGGCAUGCGGGCGAUACCCUCUUCCGUGGAGGCCUAAGUUCGUGGCUGAGUUUUUGGUUACGGCUUGGGGUAUGAACCUGCAUUAGGAAGGAACUUAGUGCAGUGUAGCCUGCCUUGAGGUGGAGAUGUUGGGAGGGCUAAAGGGACUUCUGCUCAUUGGCCGAUGGGUUUGAGUCUGCCUGAAAUUCUUUUCUGCAAAAGAGGCUAAGCUGUCAUGGGCCGUUAAGGAAAACUUCUAGAGCGAAAACUAACGAGGAUUAAAGUGCGUUCUUAGUGGCGAUCAAGUGCUAGAUUGGGCGACAUUCUAGGCUGAGGGAAAGGGGAAACCGCCUUUACAGGAAACUGGAGGAGCUCAGUGGGAAAACCUACUCGACCUAUGGCGCAAUAUUUAUUCGUCUGUGUCCUAAGGCUCAAAGAUAAACA